Molecule: ribosomal RNA, 226 nt
Filed under: uncultured bacterium
Lineage: Bacteria
Description: partial 16S ribosomal RNA
Rfam family: Bacterial small subunit ribosomal RNA
Source: RNAcentral
GCGUUGUCCGGAAUCACUGGGCGUAAAGGGCGCGUAGGCGGCUCGCGAAGCGUGCGGUGAAAGCCCGGGGCUCAACCCCGGGUCGGCCGUGCGAACUGGCGAGCUCGAGCACAGUAGAGGCAGGUAGAAUUCCGGGUGUAGCGGUGGAAUGCGUAGAGAUCCGGAAGAAUACCGGUGGCGAAGGCGGCCUGCUGGGCUGUGGCUGACGCUGAGGCGCGACAGCGUG